This 450-nucleotide ribosomal RNA is filed under the name uncultured bacterium. RNAcentral's name for it is "partial 16S ribosomal RNA". It matches the Rfam family "Bacterial small subunit ribosomal RNA", at positions 28 to 506 of the family's 1533-position model. The record is from RNAcentral.
AGCGAACGCUGGCGGCAUGCCUAACACAUGCAAGUCGCACGGGGGGGCUUCGGCCUCCCAGUGGCGGACGGGUGAGGAACGCGUAGGGACCUGUCGAGGGGUGGGGGAUAACCGCGGGAAACUGCGGCUAAUACCGCAUGACGCCGCGGCGUGACAGCCGGGGCCAAAGGCGAAAGCCGCCCGCCGAGGGGCCUGCGUCCGAUUAGCUGGUUGGCGGGGUAGCGGCCCACCAAGGCGUCGAUCGGUAGCUGGUCUGAGAGGGUGAUCAGCCACACCGGGACUGAGACACGGCCCGGACUCCUACGGGUGGCAGCAGUGGGGAAUAUUGGACAAUGGGCGCAAGCCUGAUCCAGCAAUGCCGCGUGGGUGAAGAAGGUCUUCGGAUUGUAAAGCCCUUUCGGCGGGGACGAUGGUGACGGUACCCGCAGAAGAAGCCCCGGCUAACUUCGU